GAUAAUAGGACAAUGGUUGUGAGGAUAUUGUGACCCUGGACUUGUUAGUUUAUAUAACAGACUUCCUUUACAACAUCCAGUAAACAUGAAAAGGCUGCCCUGGCUUGCCCCAGAACUUCACUCAGACCUGUCAUCUGUCACCGCCCAGUCAGAAGUUUAUGCAUAUGGUACAACUCUAUGGCAGAUGUUCUCAAUGGGCUUGAGCCCCAUUGAACAUGAUCCAAAGUUAAAGAGGAAAACACCAGAACAGAUUGUUAAGUUUUUUGCCGAUGGUGAUAUUUUUAA
Molecule: long non-coding RNA, 285 nt
Organism: Ruditapes philippinarum (Manila clam)
Lineage: Eukaryota; Metazoa; Mollusca; Bivalvia; Venerida; Veneridae
Exons: 3
Source: RefSeq, a predicted model, not a curated record